GAUCAUGGCUCAGGAUGAACGCUGGCGGCGUGCAUAACACAUUCAAGUCGAACGGACGACUCGGAGCUUGCUCCGGGAAGUUAGUGGCGGACGGGUGAGUAACGCGUGAGCAACCUACCUGUGUGAGUGGAAUAACGUCCGGAAACAGACGCUAAUACCGCAUGACUCACGGACUUCGCAUGGAGACCGUGGCAAAGAUUUAUCGCACACAGAUGGGCUCGCGUCCGAUUAGG
RNAcentral lists this ribosomal RNA (233 nucleotides) under uncultured bacterium. Its description in RNAcentral is "partial 16S ribosomal RNA". It matches the Rfam family "Bacterial small subunit ribosomal RNA", at positions 15 to 245 of the family's 1533-position model. The record is from RNAcentral.